UUCCUCAGCAUCGCCACAAACAUAUGGUCUAUGAAUCAUCUUCCAGAUAUUCAGCACGGCCCUUCACCUCAAGCACAUAUUCAGUACGGCUACUGCCCUUCGCCUCAAGCGCAUACUCAGCAUGGCUACUGCCCUUCGCCUCAAGCGCAUACUCAGCAUGGCUACUGCCCUUCGCCUCAAGCACAUAUUCAGCAUUGCCAUGGCUCUUCACCCCAAGCACAUAUUCACGAUAACCUUUCACCCCUUUUGCCCCCUUCACCGUCUUCAUCCACCUUGCUCCAAGAGCAUAUUCAGCAUGAUCCUUCACCCCAAGCACAUAUUCAGCAUUGCCAUGGCCCUUCACCCCAAGCACAUAUUCACGAUAAUCCUUCACCCCCUUCACUAUCUUCAUCCACUUUGCUCCAAGAGUAUAUUCAGCAUGAUCCUUCGCCUCAAGCACAUAUUCAUCAUUGCCAUGGCCCUUCACCCCAAGCACAUAUUCACGAUAACCCUUCACCCCUUUCACCCCCUUCACCGCCUUCAUCCGCUUUGCUCCAAGAGCAUAUUCAGCAUGAUCCUUCGCCCCAAGCACAUAUCCAGCAUAGCCAU
RNAcentral lists this long non-coding RNA (588 nucleotides) under Malus domestica (apple). RNAcentral describes it as "long non-coding RNA (MDOM_LNC009444)". Lineage: Eukaryota; Viridiplantae; Streptophyta; Magnoliopsida; Rosales; Rosaceae. The record is from RNAcentral.